RNAcentral lists this ribosomal RNA (662 nucleotides) under Didiscus aceratus. RNAcentral's name for it is "partial large subunit ribosomal RNA". It matches the Rfam family "Eukaryotic large subunit ribosomal RNA", at positions 656 to 1298 of the family's 3401-position model. Lineage: Eukaryota; Metazoa; Porifera; Demospongiae; Suberitida; Halichondriidae. The record is from RNAcentral.
GAAACACGGACCAAGGAGUGCAAGAGGCGUGCGAGUCUUUGGGCUGACAAACCCUCAGGCGGAAUGAGAGUAAAGGAGACUUGUCUCCGAGGCGAGAGCCCGCGUCAUUGAGGGCACAUCGUCGACCGAUCCCAGGCUACGCUGUGGUGGGAUUCGAGUGAGAGCGUGCCUGUUGCGACCCGAAAGAUGGUGAACUAUGCCUGAAUGGGGCGAAGCCAGAGGAAACUCUGGUGGAAGCUCGCAGCGGUUCUGACGUGCAAAUCGAUCGUCAAAUUUGGGUAUAGGGGCGAAAGACUAAUCGAACCGUCUAGUAGCUGGUUCCCUCCGAAGUUUCCCCCAGGAUAGCUGGAGCCCGGUGCAGUUUUAUCAGGUAAAGCGAAUGAUUAGAGGUCUUGGGGUUGAAACAACCUCAACCUAUUCUCAAACUUUAAAUGGGUAAGAAGCUCGGCUUGCUCGGUUGAAGUCGGGCGUGGGAAUGCCGGGGCUCCUAGUGGGCCAUUUUUGGUAAGCAGAACUGGCGAUGCGGGAUGAACCGAACGCCGGGUUAAGGUGCCCGAAUCGACGCUCAUCAGAUCCCAUAAAAGGUGUUGGUUGAUUUAGACAGCAGGACGGUGGCCAUGGAAGUCGGAAUCCGCUAAGGAGUGUGUAACAACUCACCUGCC